Molecule: ribosomal RNA, 309 nt
Filed under: uncultured bacterium
Lineage: Bacteria
Description: bacterial SSU rRNA
Rfam family: Bacterial small subunit ribosomal RNA
Source: RNAcentral
AUUGAACGCUAGCGGGAUGCCUUACACAUGCAAGUCGAACGGCAGCAUAAGAGAGCUUGCUCUCUUGAUGGCGAGUGGCGAACGGGUGAGUAAUGUAUCGGAACGUGCCCAGUAGCGGGGGAUAACUACGCGAAAGCGUAGCUAAUACCGCAUACGCCCUACGGGGAAAGCAGGGGAUCGCAAGACCUUGUGCUACUAGAGCGGCCGAUGGCAGAUUAGGUAGUUGGUGGGAUAAAAGCUUACCAAGCCAACGAUCUGUAGCUGGUCUGAGAGGACGAUCAGCCACACUGGGACUGAGACACGGCCCAG